This 770-nucleotide small RNA is filed under the name Pan troglodytes (chimpanzee). RNAcentral describes it as "processed transcript". The record is from RNAcentral. Lineage: Eukaryota; Metazoa; Chordata; Mammalia; Primates; Hominidae.
UGCAGUACCCUGUGGCGGGUGCGAACCCCCGCCCGGCAGUGGCGGGGGCUGCUCCCAGCUUCUGGCUGUCGCGGACCUGCCGCCUCCUCCUACUCCGCAUCCGCCGAGCCUGCCCGGGUCCGGGCGCUUGUCUAUGGGCACCACGGGGAUCCAGCCAAGGUCGUCGAAGGUAUAACCAGGGAAUUGUUUCAGAGGUUUCCUUGGAUAUUCCUACAACUGAUAACAGCUGUCAUUUCUUCAGCAUCUACUGUAACCGUAAUUCCUGGGCACACAUGGCAGCUCAGAAAUGUUGCCUGACCUACUUUGAGGAGAUGAUUUGAGCGAAACACCCAUUCUAGCCUGGAUGACAUGAACAUCUCCGUUUGGCUUUGUGCUUAGACUCAAGAACCUGGAGCUAGCUGCUGUGGGAGGAUCAGAUGUCCGUGUGAAGAUGCUGGCGGCCCCUAUCAAUCCAUCUGACAUAAAUAUGAUCCAAGGAAACUACGGACUCCUUCCUGAACUGCCUGCUGUUGGAGGGAACGAAGGUGUUGCACAGGUGGUAGCGGUGGGCAGCAAUGUGACCGGGCUGAAGCCAGGAGACUGGGUGAUUCCAGCAAAUGCUGGUUUAGGAACCUGGCGGACCGAGGCUGUGUUCAGCGAGGAAGCACUGAUCCAAGUUCCGAGUGACAUCCCUCUUCAGAGCGCUGCCACCCUGGGUGUCAAUCCCUGCACAGCCUACAGGAUGUUGAUGGACUUCGAGCAACUGCAGCCAGGGGAUUCUGUCAUCCAGA